UACGGGGGGUGCAAGCGUUGCUCGGAAUCACUGGGCGUAAAGCGUCCGCAGGCGGACGCGUAAGUCGGUGGUGAAAGCCCGGGGCUCAACCCCGGAACUGCCAUCGAAACUGCGUGUCUCGAGUUCGGGAGAGGGAAGUGGAAUUCCUGGUGUAGAGGUGAAAUUCGUAGAUAUCAGGAAGAACACCGGUGGCGAAAGCGGCUUCCUGGCCCGAAACUGACGCUCAUGGACGAAAGCGUGGGGAGCAAACAGG
This 253-nucleotide ribosomal RNA is filed under the name uncultured bacterium. Its description in RNAcentral is "partial 16S ribosomal RNA". It matches the Rfam family "Bacterial small subunit ribosomal RNA", at positions 524 to 776 of the family's 1533-position model. The record is from RNAcentral.